UCCUGGCUCAGGAUGAACGCUAGCUACAGGCUUAACACAUGCAAGUCGAGGGGGAAACGAUAUUGGAAGCUUGCUUCUGAUAGGCGUCGACCGGCGCACGGGUGAGUAACGCGUAUCCAACCUGCCCAUCACUUGGGGAUAACCUUGUGAAAGUAAGACUAAUACCCAAUGACGUCUCUAGAAGACAUCUGAAAGAGAUUAAAGAUUUAUCGGUGAUGGAUGGGGAUGCGUCUGAUUAGCUUGUUGGCGGGGUAACGGCCCACCAAGGCGACGAUCAGUAGGGGUUCUGAGAGGAAGGUCCCCCACAUUGGAACUGAGACACGGUCCAAACUCCUACGGGAGGCAGCAGUGAGGAAUAUUGGUCAAUGGACGAGAGUCUGAACCAGCCAAGUAGCGUGCAGGAUGACGGCCCUAUGGGUUGUAAACUGCUUUUAUAAGGGAAUAAAGUGGGAGUCGUGACUCUUUUUGCAUGUACCUUAUGAAUAAGGACCGGCUAAUUCCGUG
Molecule: ribosomal RNA, 504 nt
Filed under: uncultured bacterium
Lineage: Bacteria
Description: bacterial SSU rRNA
Rfam family: Bacterial small subunit ribosomal RNA
Source: RNAcentral